UUACGCCUUCAUGAAGCUGGAAUUGCUAGUAAUGGCAGGUCAGCAUACUGCCGUGAAUACGUUCCCGGGCCUUGUACACACCGCCCGUCACACCAUGAGAGUUGGGGAUACCCGAAGCCUGUGAGCCAACUUUUUAAGAGGCAGCAGUCGAAGGUAGAAUCAAUGAUUGGGGUGAAGUCGUAACAAGGUAGC
Molecule: ribosomal RNA, 192 nt
Filed under: uncultured bacterium
Lineage: Bacteria
Description: partial 16S ribosomal RNA
Rfam family: Bacterial small subunit ribosomal RNA
Source: RNAcentral